Long non-coding RNA from Mytilus trossulus (common blue mussel), 854 nucleotides. RefSeq lists it as uncharacterized. The transcript is spliced from 4 exons. Lineage: Eukaryota; Metazoa; Mollusca; Bivalvia; Mytilida; Mytilidae. The record is from RefSeq and is a predicted model, not a curated record.
UAACAAUAAAAACGAACUAUCAAGACGAAAGGAAUACCUUCGCAUCAAUAUUAAUUUAGAGUAUACGAUAUCGACUGCACAGAACAUGUCUUCUGAUCAUGAGACUGAAUCAAUACAGAUUAAACUACGGACAGCCCAAGACAGAUCUACUUUGAUUUUAACUAUUCAUAUUGAUCCAGAACUAAAGCAGAGAAAUAAUCAAAUGACAAGAUUUACCUGGAAGUCCUCCGAUUCCUGCGAUCCACGAAACAUGGACAUUGAACUUGCCCAGUAUCAAAAUGAAAAAUUUGGGAAACCAAAUACAAACGAAUGAAUGACGACUGAUGUCAUAUUGAGUUGCUUUCAUCGUAUACACAUGUGUCUAAUAUAAGUUUCUGGAUGUUUCAUAAAUAACAAUCAUCGAUCAAAGCAAUAUAAUAAAAUAUGUUCUUAUUUGUUAUUGAGUUUAAUAUGUUGCUAUUACUUUAUGUCUUAUUAACGUAUACUUUAUAUUUCCUUUCAAUCGUAUUAUAUUGGAUGCUUUGAUUUUAUUUGUAUACUAUGACAUAUAUUUCUCAAAGUGUAAUCAAUCAGAGAGCUCUUUUAUAAGCUGUAUCAAUAUUUGCAUUUCGGACAAACAAUGUUAUAAUGAUUAUCAACAGUUGUGACGUUCUUUUUGCUACGCUACUUUUGAUAGGUUAGCCAUGCAAUGCAACCGCUGUUUCGCAGUUUGGAUGAUUAUAACAAUUGUGAUCAGUUAUGAAAAACAUAUCAAUUUCAUGACAAAAAUGUAAAUGUUAGCAACAAACCAAAAUGUAUAAUUAUUUUCAAACGAAAAUCUGUUAUAAGUAUAACUAAAAUUGAGAAAGGAAAUG